UAUGCUUGUCUCAAAGAUUAAGCCAUGCAUGUCUCAGUGCAAGCCGUCCUGUACGGUGAAACCGCGAAAGGCUCAUUAAAUCAGUUAUGGUUCCUUAGAUAGUACCCACGUUACUUGGAUAACUGUGGUAAUUCUAGAGCUAAUACAUGCCGACAGAGUUCCGACCAGCGUCGCGGCGGCUUGCCGUUCGCGACGUUCGGAAGGAGCGCUUUUAUUAGAUCAAAAUCGGCCAAGCGCAACGUUCGCGUAGCGUUAGUGGCCCGCGCAAAGACUUGACGACUCUGAAUAACUUCGAGCUGAUCGCACGGUCUCGCACCGGCGACGUAUCUUUCAAAUGUCUGCCUUAUCAACUGUCGACGGUACGUUCGAUGCUUACCGUGGUGGUAACGGGUAACGGGGAAUCAGGGUUCGAUUCCGGAGAGGGAGCCUGAGAAACGGCUACCACAUCCAAGGAAGGCAGCAGGCGCGCAAAUUACCCACUCCCAGCUCGGGGAGGUAGUGACGAAAAAUAACGAUACGGGACU
This 524-nucleotide ribosomal RNA is filed under the name Aspidiotus nerii (oleander scale). RNAcentral describes it as "SSU rRNA". It matches the Rfam family "Eukaryotic small subunit ribosomal RNA", at positions 27 to 492 of the family's 1831-position model. Lineage: Eukaryota; Metazoa; Arthropoda; Insecta; Hemiptera; Diaspididae. The record is from RNAcentral.